This 1224-nucleotide long non-coding RNA is filed under the name Taeniopygia guttata (zebra finch). Its description in RNAcentral is "lncRNA (ENSTGUG00000023862.1)". Lineage: Eukaryota; Metazoa; Chordata; Aves; Passeriformes; Estrildidae. The record is from RNAcentral.
AUGGCGGCACGGAGGGGGAGGAAGGAAACCCCCCCAAAAUGGGGAGUGGGGGGGUCGGGGGAGCCCCCAAAGGUGGCACGGCCACCCCACCCCCACCCCGGAGCGGCCCAGGGACACCCGAAUUGGGAAAGGGCACUCAAACUGGGAGAGAGCCACAGCAAACUGGGAGAGAACCCGCAGCAAACUGGGAUGGAAGCCACGGGAAACUGGGAGCAAACUGGGACAGAACCCACAGCAAACAGGGACCAAACUGGGAGGGAAACUACACUGGAACCGGAAAGGAUCCCCCAAACUGGGCAGGGACCUCUCAAACUGGGAAAGGACCCCCCAGACUGGGAAAGGACCCCCCAAACUGGGAAAGGAUCCCCCAAACUGGGAAAGGACCCCCCAAACUGGGAAAGGACCCCCCAAACUGGGCAGCGCCCCCCCAGUUCCUCUCCCCGCGCUCCCCCUGCCGGUCACCGGCGGAACUGCAGCGAGCGGGAGGGGGCGUGGCUUGCGGAGGGCGCGGCCUCCGCCCCUCCCAUUUUCCCGUUGAUUGACAUGUGGGUGGGGCAACGGAGCGGUGUCCCCGUGUCCCCGUGUCCCUACGGGCUCCGUGUCCCUCCCCGUGUCCCUGUGUCCCCCCCGUGUCCCCCCCGUGUCCCCACGGGCUCCGUGUCCCCCCCGUGUCCCCGUGUCCCCACGGGCUCUGUGUCCCCACGGACUCCGUGUCCCCACGGGCUCCGUGUCCCCACGGGCUCCGUGUCCCCUCUGUCUCCUCUGUCCCCGCUAUCCCCGUGUCCCCGCUGUCCCUGUGUCCCCUGUGUCCCCUCUGUCCCCGCUAUCCCCGUGUCCCCGUGUCCCCACGAACUCCGUGUCCCCGCUAUCCCCGUGUCCCCUCUGUCCCCUCUAUCCCCUCUAUCCCCGCUGUCCCCUCUAUCCCCGCUGUCCCCGCUGUCCCCGCUGUCCCCGCUGUCCCCGUGUCCCUGUGUCCCCUCUAUCCCCGCUGUCCCCGCUGUCCCCUCUGUCCCCGCUGUCCCCCGUCCCCGCCCCACCUCGCUGAUCCCUCCCGGUGUCCCCGCACCCAAGAACGGCACCGGGAGCCGCUGGAAGCUGCUUUUAUUGGCCACGUUUGGGGCGGGACGAGCGCGGACGGGGGGCCCGGGGGGCGGCCCCGGGCGGGCACCAACACGGCACAGGGCGACAAUAAUUAUCCUCGUUAUAAUAAUAAUAAAAAAUUAA